RNAcentral lists this ribosomal RNA (253 nucleotides) under uncultured bacterium. RNAcentral's name for it is "partial 16S ribosomal RNA". It matches the Rfam family "Bacterial small subunit ribosomal RNA", at positions 524 to 776 of the family's 1533-position model. The record is from RNAcentral.
UACGUAGGGGGCUAGCGUUGUCCGGAAUCAUUGGGCGUAAAGAGCGCGUAGGCGGCCAGAUAAGUCCGGUGUGAAAGUCACAGGCUCAACCUGUGAAUGCCGCUGGAAACUGUCUGGCUAGAGUCCAGAAGGGGCGAGUGGAAUUCCUGGUGUAGCGGUGAAAUGCGCAGAUAUCAGGAGGAACACCAAUGGCGAAGGCAGCUCGCUGGGACGGUACUGACGCUGAGGCGCGAAAGCGUGGGGAGCGAACAGG